AACGAACGCUGGCGGCAGGCUUAACACAUGCAAGUCGAGCGCCCCGCAAGGGGAGCGGCAGACGGGUGAGUAACGCGUGGGAAUCUACCCAUCCCUACGGAACAACUCCGGGAAACUGGAGCUAAUACCGUAUACGCCCUUCGGGGGAAAGAUUUAUCGGGGAUGGAUGAGCCCGCGUUGGAUUAGCUAGUUGGUGGGGUAAUGGCCUACCAAGGCGACGAUCCAUAGCUGGUCUGAGAGGAUGAUCAGCCACACUGGGACUGAGACACGGCCCAGACUCCUACGGGAGGCAGCAGUGGGGAAUAUUGGACAAUGGGCGAAAGCCUGAUCCAGCCAUGCCGCGUGAGUGAUGAAGGCCCUAGGGUUGUAAAGCUCUUUCACCGGUGAAGAUAAUG
Molecule: ribosomal RNA, 395 nt
Filed under: uncultured bacterium
Lineage: Bacteria
Description: bacterial SSU rRNA
Rfam family: Bacterial small subunit ribosomal RNA
Source: RNAcentral